CCGCCCAUAGCUCAAUUGGUAGAGCAGUCCCCUUUUAAGGGAAAGGUUCCUGGAUCGUGCCCAGGUGGGCGGA
Molecule: transfer RNA, 73 nt
Filed under: Parcubacteria group bacterium RIFCSPHIGHO2_01_FULL_56_18
Lineage: Bacteria
Description: tRNA-Lys
Rfam family: tRNA
About the family: Transfer RNA (tRNA) molecules are approximately 80 nucleotides in length. Their secondary structure includes four short double-helical elements and three loops (D, anti-codon, and T loops).
Source: RNAcentral